Molecule: ribosomal RNA, 622 nt
Filed under: uncultured bacterium
Lineage: Bacteria
Description: bacterial SSU rRNA
Rfam family: Bacterial small subunit ribosomal RNA
Source: RNAcentral
UUGAAGUCUUAGUGGCGCAGCUAACGCACUAAGUAGACCGCCUGGGGAGUACGGCCGCAAGGUUAAAACUCAAAUGAAUUGACGGGGGCCCGCACAAGCGGUGGAGCAUGUGGUUUAAUUCGACGCAACGCGAAGAACCUUACCUGGCCUUGACAUGCAGAGAACUUUCCAGAGAUGGAUUGGUGCCUUCGGGAACUCUGACACAGGUGCUGCAUGGCCGUCGUCAGCUCGUGUCGUGAGAUGUUGGGUUAAGUCCCGUAACGAGCGCAACCCCUAUCCCUAGUUGCUAGCAGUUCGGCUGAGAACUCUAGGGAGACUGCCGGUGACAAACCGGAGGAAGGUGGGGAUGACGUUAGGUCAUCUGUAAAANGACGGCCAGGGCUACACACGUGCUACAAUGGUGCGUACAGAGGGCUGCAAACCCGCGAGGGGGAGCUAAUCUCACAAAACGCAUCGUAGUCCGGAUCGGAGUCUGCAACUCGACUCCGUGAAGUCGGAAUCGCUAGUAAUCGCGAAUCAGAAUGUCGCGGUGAAUACGUUCCCGGGCCUUGUACACACCGCCCGUCACACCAUGGGAGUGGAUUGCACCAGAAGUGGUUAGUCUAACCUUCGGGAGGACGAU